GUUGAACCAAGAAUGGGAGUUGAGGUCAAUGGCCUAGAGAGGCAGCCGCCUCAGGUGAGCAGCUGAGAAGCUCUGGGUUUGUGUUCUGGGAGUGGACAGCAGCCUUGGUUUCUGGGCCACUGCCAUGCCUGGGUUGUUCAUCACCUCUGCAGACUCUAUUUGACGAGGAGGCCUGAACUGCAGUUAAUCUCAGUCAGCUUCAGGGGGCUUCUGCACUGUGCCAGCCGCGUCUUCGUCACCUCCCUGUGCAGGAGGAGGGAGGCCCUGUCCAGCCUGUCCCCUUCUUGACCUCUUCUCGCCUUAUUAGUGUACAAAAUGUUUUGCUAAAAUGUCUGUGCAUAUCAUUUCCAAAACUUUUCCAAAAUAGCAUGAGACACUGACUUCCCACCAGGACCCCCUGGGGCACAGCUCGUCCAACCUCCCAGAGCCCUCUUGAGGCGUCUCCCUGCCCUGGAGAGCCCUGGUGGCAGGAGGAUCACGGUGCAGAUUCAGUCGGAGAUGGUGCCUCCGACAGGCCUGACCAGGCGGGUCUGCACAGAAGGGCUCAGAAACGACACCCGGACAGACGGCGCGGCCCUGUGUCCGUGGACCCCGCAGGUGACAGAGCAAAGCUGCAGCAUGGGCAGUGCAGAGGGAGGUUCUGGUGCCAGGAUCCGAGCCAGCACCAGGCUUGCUCCUGCAGGUGGGCAGCGGCCUGGGACAAGUGACCCUGUGGCCUGGGCCUCUGCCCUGAGGAGUACGCUGGCCCAGGUGCGUGGAAGUGACUGUGAGGGCCUGUGGGGUGAGGCCACUGCUGCACCCACAUCAGGAGGUGCUGAGUGCCAGGGACCAGCCACAGCCCAGCACCACCCCACAG
This 856-nucleotide long non-coding RNA is filed under the name Fukomys damarensis (Damara mole-rat). RNAcentral describes it as "lncRNA (ENSFDAG00000027238.1)". Lineage: Eukaryota; Metazoa; Chordata; Mammalia; Rodentia; Bathyergidae. The record is from RNAcentral.